RNAcentral lists this ribosomal RNA (459 nucleotides) under uncultured bacterium. Its description in RNAcentral is "partial 16S ribosomal RNA". It matches the Rfam family "Bacterial small subunit ribosomal RNA", at positions 338 to 795 of the family's 1533-position model. The record is from RNAcentral.
CCUACGGGUGGCUGCAGUGAGGAAUAUUGGUCAAUGGCCGUAAGGCUGAACCAGCCAAGUAGCGUGAGGGAAGACUGCCCUAUGGGUUGUAAACCUCUUUUAUGCGGGGAUAAAGGUGUCCACGUGUGGAUGUUUGCAGGUACCGCAUGAAUAAGGACCGGCUAAUUCCGUGCCAGCAGCCGCGGUAAUACGGAAGGUCCGGGCGUUAUCCGGAUUUAUUGGGUUUAAAGGGUGCGCAGGCGGAGGUGCAAGUCAGCGGUCAAAUUGCGGGGCUCAACCCCGUACUGCCGUUGAAACUGCAUCCCUUGAGUGCGCGAGAAGUAUGCGGAAUGCGUGGUGUAGCGGUGAAAUGCAUAGAUAUCACGCAGAACUCCGAUUGCGAAGGCAGCAUACCGGCGCGCAACUGACGCUCAUGCACGAAAGCGUGGGUAUCGAACAGGAUUAGAUACCCGGGUAGUC